AAAUAAAGAAAGAUAUUUUCAUGGGCAGAAGAUGCCACUCCUCUUCCCUUACUCCAUUACGACACUUGGAUUAAAAUUAAGUGAUAGAACAAGUAAAUUCAAAAAAGGAAAAAAGAACUAAAUAAAUCAGUUCGAUCCAUCCUUCUGGCUUACCUUCCACAGUCCUCUUGUCCCCUCUUGCUGGUAAAUGUUCAUGAAGUUGCCUAUCAUUCCUCCUUGAAUGGUGUUGCUUUGCGCUUGCAUCCGAAUCUAGAGAUUAUUUUAAAGACCAACAUCAGAAAGAAACUACCACAAUCCCACCCACAACCAAUGUAUACCUCUGACAGUCAGUCCGUCAGUCAGUUGCUUAAUAACCAUUAGCAAGGAAAAAACUGUCAUAUAAAUACUGCUAUGAUGCUACCUUAAAAUGACUAAAACGUAUAAAAAUUUAUUCUUAGGAACUCUGAGAUCUCCAAAAAGCAUCUAAGAGAGUCCAGAGUCCUACGUACAGCAGUUCAUUAAAUGUCAAAAGGAGAAACUGAUUUUUGUGAAAAAAGUCUUUCUAGGAUAGAAAACAGCAUACUUCCCUACUACUAUAUAGGUGAGAGAAAAGUUAAUUUCAAAGGUUUAAUCUAAUUAAUGAGUUAUCCAGUGUACCUGGCAGCACGAAGCACAGGCAAGCAUAGUUCUUAAAUUAGCUGCUCCAAGCCACUACAGUCUCCAGCCAGCUGAACCAAAAGGUAUGCAGGCGAGCUAGCCAAGUGACAGCCACAUGAUACCUGUUACACUCUGUUACACUUUAAUUAGUGGAAUCCACAUGACCAAGAUUCCAACAUAAAAAGAAUGUUUGAUGUAGCUCUUUGCAUUUUUAAGAAUGAAGAAAGAUUUUUUACUACAAAAUGUGUACCUUAUUUUUGUUUAGGGAGCAAAUACGUUACCACUAACUUCUAAAAGAACUGUUAUUGCCACACGAACGUGGGAAAAUAAACCAAGAUACAGGAACUGCCUUCCCAUAAGGCCUAAGAUAUAAUUAAGAAAUUAAUGAGAGUACGAAUAUUUUUCUCUAGCUCUCUUACCCCAACACUGGUAAACUUAUGGCAAAGGUACCUUGUAUUUCUUCCUUACCCACGAGGUCCCUUUGCUACAAUGCAUAUAUAACUGUAGUGUACCCAGAAUACUGCAGAUGGCUGUAAUGCUUGUCAGAAUCCCCUAUUAGAUUGAAGGCUCUCUGAGGGCAGGGUCCUUGUCUUACUCAUAUUUGGAUUCUAACCAUGGCGUAUACCAACUGGUACAAGAUAGAAGCAUAGAAUACUAGUUAAAUAGUGGGGCAGAAAAAGAAAAGAGGGGAAGUAGGAAAGGAAUACUCUGUGGGGUUCAAAAAGUAAGUCAUUCCUAAUUUUUAUUUUAUUUAAUUAGUUGCUUCCAAAAAAGGAUUUAAAGAUGCUCUAUCCCUAGUAUUUUCAAUAAGGUCUCCUAAUGUGUUAUGUAAUCUAAUUGUAGUAAUUAAAUUUUUUCAUCUGUAUUUCCUGAAAUAAAAUUUAACAAAGAAGAUGCAGCAUGAGCCACUGCACCCGGCCUCUAAAACGAUUUCGUAAAAUUCAAAAUCCAACAAAAACACAGGUGGGUCCAGAUGUGCAAAUUAUUAGCUCACUAAGUGAAAGCCUAGCCCCUCAUAUUUAUUCUCAAUGAAAAUGUAAGUGAAGAAGUUCAAGACAGAAUCAGGAAAAACAAGCCUACUUUCCUCCAUCCGAUAUGCCUGUCCUAUUAUCCUCUCCAAACCACAACCACGUUGUGGCAUGGACACUCCCCGGGUGUCUUUCUGCAUUUCCCCACUUCCUUCUUGAAUUGCAAUCAGGGUUUCUGCUGCCCUCACCCUCAAAACUCCCCUCUUCAAGGUGACCAACUGACAUCUUUGUUGCUAAGUUAAAUGAGGCUUUUCAAGUAGGAUCUUGUAUAAGCUCUUUGCAGUGUGUGCCACUGUUUACCCUUUGUCCUACUUGUAGCUGUCUCCUCCCUGUUCUGCUGUAGCAUCACCCCCUCUGACUUCUUUUCUUUUCUCUACAGCAUCCUACCUGUGUCUGCUGGGGUUCCCCAGAAAUCUAUCCUAUGCUUCUUCUCUCCUUACUGUACAUGUUCCCUGUGUGAGCUCACCUACUCCCAAGGCUUCAACUGCCAUCUAAAGGCUGGCCAGGCACGGUGGCUCAUGCCUGUAAUCCCAGCACUUUGGGAAGCCAGGGCAGGCAGAUCACUGCACCUCAGGAGUUUGAGACCAGCCUGGACAACAUGGCAAAACCCCAUCUCUAUAAAAAAUAUAAAAGUAGCGCCAGACACGGUGGCUCACACCUGUAAUCCCAGCACUUUGGGAGGCCGAGACGGGUGGAUCACUUGAGGUCAGGAGUUUAAGACCAGCCUAGACAACAUGGUAAAACCCCGUCUCUACUAAAAAUACAAAAAACUGGCCGGUUGUCAUAGCUGGUGCCUGUAAUCCCAGCUACUCGGGAGGCUGAGGCAGGAGAAUUGCUUGAACCUGGGAGGCAGAGGUUGCAGUGAGCCUGGGCAACCGAGUGAAACGCCAUCUAAAAAAAAAAAUUGUGUGUGUGUGUUUGUGUGUGUGCAGCUAGGUGCAGUGGCUUGUUGUGCCUAUAGUUCCAGCUAUGUAGGGGGCUGCAAUGAGAGGAUCACUUGAGCCUGGGAGGUAGAGGCUGCUGUAAGCCAUUUUGUGCCACUGCACUCCAGCCUGGGUGACAAAGCAAGACCCUGUCUCAAAAUAAAUAAAUGAAAAAUAAAAUAAAAGACUGAUGACUCCAAAUCCAUGCUUCCAACAUGGAUCCAAAGACACAUUUCCAAUCUUCCAAGAUUCUCCAUUUAGAUGUCCUGUGUAUACCUUCAGAUAGGGUCCCACACUGAACUACUUCUCUUCCUUCUCCAAACAGUCAUCUCUCCUCUUGUGUUUCCUAAACCAGGACAUGGAAGCUCCAGCUACACACUGGCAAAAACCACCAAUUGAGACAUUAGUCUUGGCUCCUCCUUCCCUUCUACCCGCUUCAUGUAUGGAAACCUCAUAUUAGGUCACGUAGUGCUAUCAGUCCUACACCCUAAAUAGUUUUCUAGCCUGUCUUCUUUUUCCUCAUCCCCAAAACCAAUUCAGAUCCUCAUCUAGUCUUCCUACAUGACAGCCCUGCUUCUAGUGCUCCCUGUCUCUUAAUUCUUUCUCUCCAUGGCAGGCAGGUGAUGUUUACAAUGUAAAGCUGAUCAGGUCCAUCCUCCUACUUAAACACUUUCAGUGGCUUCUGUCUGCCAUAGAUAUAGCAAACUCAAAUGCUGACAGGUACCAAGAAAGCAGAUGCCAUGAGUGAAUGAUCCAGGCUGGGUCGAACUGCACACACAUAUACUAUGUGAGUGACAGAGGUUUUGUAAACCAGAGACAGUAUCCUUCACCCCAGCUACUACUGUCAUAACUGAAUGAAUGUGGGCCUAAUGUUGAUUUCUCUCAAGAAGAUGGAGUCCCAGAUUUUUAUGUGCAAUUUCUCAUUUUUAAAAUAUUGGCUCAAUUAAAAAAACAAAAACCUCUGGGGAUUGGUGGAUCCAUGGCAGGGCUGUGGGUCACCAGUUUGUGCUGUGGUGUACUGGAGAAAAUCAAGAUGCUUAGCGUGACAUGAGGCUGUCCACGUUCUGUUCCUGCAGGUAUUCUGAUAUAGGUCUCACUCACUAUCCAGUGCCUACAGAAUACUGUUCAUUAAAUACUGAAAGACUGGAAAGUAGUUCACUGCAACUCUUAUCAACAUCAUAUAAUUUUCAUUAUGGCAAAAACCUCCUUAAUUCAGAAUAUCUAAGAAAAAGAGCUAUUUUCAAAGCAUGAAAAACCGAACAGAAUGUUUUUAAACAAACAUAAUUUUUUAUUGUUGUCUGUCUGUACUUGAAUAUAGUAAAACAGUUUCACCAAAACAUCUGCUGCAUAAUAUAUAUACUUAGAAAUUAGAGUUGAAAUUAAAAGUGAAAAAUCUGUCAUGCUAUUUGUUCUUUUCAAACACACCUCAAACUUUUUACUUGUGAUCUGUGCAGUCUUGGUCUGAAGUCUAUACCCAUGUGAAACAGUGAACAGUGACACAGAAAUGCAUGAAGGCCUACUCACCCCGAGUAGAGUGCUUUCAGCCCUUCUUCUCUGCCUAUCCUCACUAAUGCGUGCAACAUUCCUCGGUAUCUAAUUUCCUUAAAUUUUGCAUCAUUCGUCUGGCCUUGAAUCUGGAGCCGUGUCUUGGUUAAAUCAAUUGGAAAUGUACCUUAAAAUUUAAAAAGAAAUUCACUUAAUAAAAAGAAAUUCCACUAAAUAAAGGAUACGUAGUGAUAUAUUACUGAGGAAACAUUCAGACUACAAUAUAAACUAAGAAAGUGAUUAAGAAAUGGCACUUUGCAAUCUUGUUUAUAUUUUUAAAAAUUGAGGAAUCAAAAGAUUAAUAAAACCCAAAAAAUGCAUAGAU
Molecule: long non-coding RNA, 4457 nt
Filed under: Homo sapiens (human)
Lineage: Eukaryota; Metazoa; Chordata; Mammalia; Primates; Hominidae
Description: HSALNT0201183
Source: RNAcentral